This is a long non-coding RNA of Ochotona princeps (American pika), 463 nucleotides long. RefSeq lists it as uncharacterized. Lineage: Eukaryota; Metazoa; Chordata; Mammalia; Lagomorpha; Ochotonidae. The record is from RefSeq and is a predicted model, not a curated record. The transcript has 3 exons.
AGCAGACACACUUGGCCCAUCUGUACCUGAACAAUCUGCGCGGCUACUACAACCAAAGCGAGGCCGUCUCUCACACAAUCCAGAAGAUGUAUGGCUGAGAGGUCGGGGCAGAUGGGCGCCUCCUCCUCGGGUACUGGCAGUGGGCCUAUGAUGGCGCUGACUACAUCGCCCUGAAUGAGGACCUGCUCACCUGGACUGCAGUGGACUUGGCAGCUCAGAUCACACAGCGCAAGUGGGAAGUGACAGCUGAAGCUGAAAGAUACAGAGCCUACCUAGAGGAGGAGUGCUUGAAGUCGCUGCACAGAUUCCUGGAAUUGGGGCAGGAGACAUUACAGCACUCAGACCCACCCAAAGCACAUGUGACUCACCACCCAGUCUCUGACCAGAAGGCCACCCUGAGGUGCUGGGCCCUGGGCUUCUACCCCAAGGACAUCACACUCACCUGGCACCGAGAUGGAGAGGA